AGUGAACGCUGGCGGUAGGCCUAACACAUGCAAGUCGAACGGCAGCACAGUAAGAGCUUGCUCUUACGGGUGGCGAGUGGCGGACGGGUGAGGAAUACAUCGGAAUCUACUUUUUCGUGGGGGAUAACGUAGGGAAACUUACGCUAAUACCUCAUACGACCUACGGGUGAAAGCAGGGGAUCUUCGGACCUUGCGCGAUUGAAUUAGCCGAUGUCGGAUUAGCUAGUUGGCGAGGUAAAGGCCCACCAAGGCGACGAUCCGUAGCUGGUCUGAGAGGAUGAUCAGCCACACUGGAACUGAGACACGGUCCAGACUCCUACGGGAGGCAGCAGUGGGGAAUAUUGGACAAUGGGCGCAAGCCUGAUCCAGCCAUACCGCGUGGGUGAAGAAGGCCUUCGGGUUGUAAAGCCCUUUUGUUGGGAAAGAAAAGCAGCAGGUUAAUACCCCGCUGUUCUGACGGUACCCAAAGAAUAAGCACCGGCUAACUUCGUG
This 492-nucleotide ribosomal RNA is filed under the name uncultured bacterium. Its description in RNAcentral is "partial 16S ribosomal RNA". It matches the Rfam family "Bacterial small subunit ribosomal RNA", at positions 29 to 507 of the family's 1533-position model. The record is from RNAcentral.